Ribosomal RNA from Notamacropus eugenii (tammar wallaby), 115 nucleotides. The record is from Ensembl. NCBI's taxonomy places the organism in Eukaryota, Metazoa, Chordata, Mammalia, Diprotodontia, Macropodidae.
GUAGGGGGUCAUACCAUCCUGAAUGCGCUGAUCUUGUCUGACAUUAGAAGCUAAGUAGGGUCUGGGAGACUGUCUGGGAAUACUGGGUGAUGUAAGCUUUUUUUCUUUUCCUCCU